GAUGAACGCUGGCGGCGUGCCUAAUACAUGCAAGUCGAGCGAAUGGAUUAAGAGCUUGCUCUUAUGAAGUUAGCGGCGGACGGGUGAGUAACACGUGGGUAACCUGCCCAUAAGACUGGGAUAACUCCGGGAAACCGGGGCUAAUACCGGAUAACAUUUUGAACCGCAUGGUUCGAAAUUGAAAGGCGGCUUCGGCUGUCACUUAUGGAUGGACCCGCGUCGCAUUAGAUAGUUGGUGAGGUAACGGCUCACCAAGGCAACGAUGCGUAGCCGACCUGAGAGGGUGAUCGGCCACACUGGGACUGAGACACGGCCCAGACUCCUACGGGAGGCAGCAGUAGGGAAUCUUCCGCAAUGGACGAAAGUCUGACGGAGCAACGCCGCGUGAGUGAUGAAGGCUUUCGGGUCGUAAAACUCUGUUGUUAGGGAAGAACAAGUGCUAGUUGAAUAAGCUGGCACCUUGACGGUACCUAACCAGAAAGCCACGGCUAACUACGAGCCAGCAGCCGCCGUAA
RNAcentral lists this ribosomal RNA (515 nucleotides) under uncultured bacterium. RNAcentral describes it as "partial 16S ribosomal RNA". It matches the Rfam family "Bacterial small subunit ribosomal RNA", at positions 28 to 523 of the family's 1533-position model. The record is from RNAcentral.